RNAcentral lists this long non-coding RNA (944 nucleotides) under Brachypodium distachyon (stiff brome). Its description in RNAcentral is "long non-coding RNA (BDIS_LNC002530)". The record is from RNAcentral. Lineage: Eukaryota; Viridiplantae; Streptophyta; Magnoliopsida; Poales; Poaceae.
GUGCCUCCCGUACGUGGGACCCAGGCUCUGAGCAGCCGGCCUCCAGUCGGCUGGCCCAGGCCGACUGGGCCUAAUCAGCUUCGGUCAGGCCGAUUGGGCCUAAUCGGCCUAGGCCAGGCCGAGACCGUAUUAUUUUUGAAAUUUUUGAAAAACACGUAUUAUUUUAAAAAAUGAUUAAAAAAUCGUAUUAUUUUAAAAAAACUAGCUACUUCCUCUGGGGCCGAGAGGAACCAGGGCUUGACUGCUUGGCUUCAAAAGUGAUUUUGGUUGUUAAAUAGCAGAGCCAUUUAAAAGCAACAUGCCAUGUUUCCUAAAAAAUAUUUCCAAGCACUAGAGGAUAGUGCAAAUGAACUUCGAAAUUUGAAUCCAGAAAAAUAUGCAAUGUGUCAAAGCUAAUGUAUAGUAAAAAAAGAAUAUGAGAAAGAAAUAUCCAAGAGCAAUUAUAACAGAAUGAGCUAUCAGAUAAGAACAAUAGAAACAUAUGAGAUAAUUUGGAACACCGCAACACCGUUCGUACCAACAGAUAAAAAAAUCCAUGGAAAAUGCACUAAGAAAAUCCUUGACAACAAAGAAAAUGACAAAUAAAAAAUGUAUUUCAUUAGCUAAUUUGACACUAUCAAACUACAAUUCCAAUGCUAAUUAUAGGAUUUAUAGGUUUUACCAUGACGGCUGUAGCCUACAGUAAAUGAGCAACAUAACAAGUUCAGAAUUCACAGUAAGAAAUAAACCAUGACCGAUGAUUGGUAUUUUAGGCCGAAAAAUGUUCUUAAUUUACCUCGGGCUUCGAUUCUGAUCCCCUAGAGGUUCGUACCGAUAUUGCGGACGUAGUCGUAAAGGCAUUUUCACAUCAAAAACGUUGUUAUCACGGGAUUACAAGCGUUGCGGUUAAUUCAUCAUUGAGUCACUGGUAUAGGUGGCCAACGGGAUGGGCCUUUUGGCCAAGC